This 271-nucleotide ribosomal RNA is filed under the name uncultured bacterium. Its description in RNAcentral is "partial 16S ribosomal RNA". The record is from RNAcentral.
CUGCUGCCUUCCGUAGGAGUUUGGACCGUGUCUCAGUUCCAAUGUGGGGGACCUUCCUCUCAGAACCCCUACGCAUCGUCGGCUUGGUGGGCCGUUGCCCCACCAACUACCUAAUGCGCCGCAUGCCCAUCCGUGACCGGAGUCGCCCCCUUUGGCCGGAAAGGGAUGUCCCUUCCCGGCGUCAUGCUGUAUUAGGCGGGAUUUCUCCCGGUUAUCCAUCUGUCACGGCCAGGUUGCAUACGUGUUACUCACCCGUGCGCCGGUCGCCCGG